UCGAGAAUCUUCGGCAAUGGACGCAAGUCUGACCGAGCGACGCCGCGUGCGGGAUGAAGGCCCUUGGGUUGUAAACCGCUGUCAGAGGGGAUGAAAUCAUUGGGGGUUCUCCCCCUUUGUUGACAGAGCCUCAGAGGAAGCACGGGCUAAGUACGUGCCAGCAGCCGCGGUAACACGUACUGUGCGAACGUUAUUCGGAAUCACUGGGCUUAAAGGGUGCGUAGGCGGCCAGACAAGUAGGGUGUGAAAGCUCUCGGCUCAACCGAGGAAUUGCGCUCUAAACUGUUUGGCUUGAGUAAGAUAGGGGUGUGCGGAACUUCCGGUGGAGCGGUGAAAUGUGUUGAUAUCGGAAGGAACACCGGUAGCGAAAGCGGCACACUGGGUCUUAACUGACGCUGAGGCACGAAAGCCAGGGUAGCGAACGGG
This 426-nucleotide ribosomal RNA is filed under the name uncultured bacterium. Its description in RNAcentral is "bacterial SSU rRNA". It matches the Rfam family "Bacterial small subunit ribosomal RNA", at positions 355 to 776 of the family's 1533-position model. The record is from RNAcentral.